This 130-nucleotide ribosomal RNA is filed under the name Erinaceus europaeus (western European hedgehog). Lineage: Eukaryota; Metazoa; Chordata; Mammalia; Eulipotyphla; Erinaceidae. The record is from RNAcentral.
GUCUAUGGCCAUACCACCCUGAGCACACCCGAUGUCAUCUGAUCUCAGAAUCUAAGCAGGGUCAGACCUGGUUAGUACUUGGAUGGGAGAAAGGACUGUUAAAAAUAGUGAAGUGUCAGGGCACCAGGCC